UACGUAGGGGGCAAGCGUUGUCCGGAAUCAUUGGGCGUAAAGCGCGUGUAGGCGGUUCGAUAAGUCUGCUGUGAAAGUCCAGGGCUCAACCCUGGAAUGCCGGUGGAAACUGUCGAGCUAGAGUCCGGAAGAGGCGAGUGGAAUUCCUGGUGUAGCGGUGAAAUGCGCAGAUAUCAGGAGGAACACCAAUGGCGAAGGCAGCUAGCUGGGACGGUACUGACGCUGAGACGCGAAAGCGUGGGGAGCAAACAGG
Molecule: ribosomal RNA, 253 nt
Filed under: uncultured bacterium
Lineage: Bacteria
Description: partial 16S ribosomal RNA
Rfam family: Bacterial small subunit ribosomal RNA
Source: RNAcentral